AAAAGCAAUGCAACUGAUUUCCACACUAUGAAAACAUUUGGAGCCUGCUGUAUGUGUAUAUUUAUAUAUUUGUAAUUUUUAAAGCUCUAGCAAGAACCUUAUCUUUUUUCCCUAAAAUGCCUUUAACAUUCUUAGUCUAGCUGAGUGAAGAUAGCCACAAUCCUGGCUCAGUAUAGUCACUUGUAAUUACCUUCAGGUGCAAAAGAGUUCUUAAUGCUUCAAAUUCUCUUUCCACUGUAUUGAAGUAAAUAGAUGUAAUUUAUUAUUGAAAGCGCUGCUGCUAUGCCGAUGUAGUGGGUGGGAGUUGACAUUUGGGAUAUUGUGUAAUGUAUAAUGAGUCUGAAAUGAGUGGUUCUGAUCCAGUCAGCAUCACAGGCAAUUUCCCGGGUAAGGAAAAAUGCCUGCAAAUUAAGUUGCAUAUCUUCACGAAGGCAGGGAAUGGCAUAAACUGUGGAAAUAUUGAUUCUGAUUCUGCUUUUCUUAGAAACUGCUCUGGAUGUGUAUUCAGAAACAUGUUUUCUCUGAGACAGAACCCUAUAUUUUCAGCCAGAAAGAUGUUUGAAAGGCAUCUUUGCAGGCUUUAAAGCUCCCAACAAAGGAAUCAAGAGGGAUGGAAUGGCACUGAGAUAACAUCCGACUGUCUGAUAGAAACGGUGCUGUCAGAGGGAAUCUGUAUUCCUGUGCAAGAACUGCUUGCCUGGAUUUCCAAGACUGGCCACAAAAAUGCCUCAUGGAGUCAACCAUAAAUCAAACAGAAAGGACUCACCUGCAUAGAAAAUAGAAUAUGUAGCUUCCUAUAGUGAAACAUAAAUCAACUGGGCAGAGCAAUGGCAUAACAUUGUAUUGCAUGUGCUUCAAAAUGGCAGAGAAAUGUGCAAAGUUACUUACUAUCUUAAUUUCUACCUUGCUUCAUUUCCCUGAGGCAGAAGCAACACACUCUUCAGACACAUGGAAUUUGGAAAGACUUCUGUCAAGAGAUCUUUGAUAGUCAUACUUAUGGCUUCCUGAGAGACAUCCAUUCAAGGAGGCUUAUUUUGCUGCCUUCUUUCUGCUGAUCUCUUUUGAUUCAGAUGGGUGAUUCAUGCUGUCUCCUCCAGGAAGCCCUUGAUCUUCUGGAUAGAAUGAAUGACUCUCCUGCCAUGUGCCGUCCCACUUUGAUUGCAUUUUUCUUGAGGCAUCGUGUCCUUACACUACUAGCUGGGUACACGUUUGUCUCUUAAAAUAAAACUCUUCUCAAUGCAUGCAUUCAUUUAACAGACAGUUACCAAGCACACUGAAUGGUAAACAUGCAGACCAUUCAUUCAGACACGCUACUCUGUCAGCUGUGUGUCCACGCACCUUCCAAGCACGGGGUUAUCAGAGGUGAACAAGGCACUGAGGCUCCUGCCUGGGGAAACCUAUACUGAGGGGAGAAAGUCAGUAAAUGAAAUAAUUCCUGUGGGUGAUAAGAGCCACAGCAGAAAUGAAAUAAUGAUGUGAUAGGAAGUAGCUAUGAGGAAUUUAAUUGCUUGACAAAUUCUUCUUGCCCACUGCACCCAGGAAACCAUUCACCGAGACCGUGGUAUUGCCGUAAAGAAAGCUUAGUAGACAUGAAGCCAGCCACAUGGAAGAGGGAGUUAUCACUUAAAUCAUCCUCCCCAAAGCCUUGUGGAGGUUAGAGUUUCUCAAUGAUAGUGAGCAGGGGAGGGAAGGGGGAAUGUUGAUUGGUUGGGAAUGCAAUCAUAGGGGUGUGAAAAACAGUCCUCAUGCACUGAGUUCACCUCUGGGUGGGGCCACAGGACCAGUUGAGUCCUGAGUCAAGGGUCUAGGUGGAGUCAGUUGGUUGCCAAAACUGCAAAAGUCUGAAAAGGCAUCUCAAAAGGCCAAACUUAGGUCCUUCAAUAGUGAUGUUAUCUACAGGAGCAAUUGGGUAGGUCACAAAUGUGACCUCAGAAACAGUGGCUGGUUAUUGUUACUAUGCCUACAUCUUAGCAGAAUUCAGUGCCUCAUAAUCCUAAUCUUGUGGGCUUUCACUUGUUUUAAAGGUGACUUCGUUUUAAGAAAGGUUAUUAUCAUCCUUGCUUUAAACUAUCAACUAAAUUCCUUCCAUGGUUAGCCUGGCGUAUGCCCAGGAAUGAGCGAGGACAGGCUGCAGAUGAGAAGCAAGAUGGAGUCAGCCAUACUAAGUUUCUCUGAUUGUCAUAUGCUUUGCAGAAGUGGUUACAGGAACUGGGGUUCAGAAACAGUUUAAGGAGGGGACAUUUUAGCUGAGAAUGAGGCAGCCACGAGAAGGGGGUGCAGGGGAGAGUGAGCCAGGGAGAGGGAAAACAAUUGCAACUUCCUGGAACGGGGGAGGAACAGUAUGGCUGAGGCCUGGGGGCUGGCACAGGCAGGAAAUAAGGUCAGGAGGGUGGGCAGGGGUCAGCCUGGCAGGACCUUGUGUCCCUGGGGAGCAGCUUAGCUUGCCUGUGCCAAAUGACCAGACUGGACAUCUUUUUUGUGUCCUUUGCAUGAUCUGUCCUUGAGAGAUGACCAGAAAGAUGUGGCCAAGUACCUGGAUAGUUUCAAGUGCUGUCAGUUAACAGGUGAGGACAUGUCAGAGAGUAGGCCACCCCUUCAAGCUGGCAUCAUUCCCUUGACUAAAGCUUUGAGUGGAGACCUAUGAUUUCCACAGUCAGAAGACACGCUAGACAAAGGGCGUCCAUCCAGUCUCAGUCCAGGGUGUGUACUUUCCCCACAAGGCUCUCACUCCAGAUCACACUCUCCAUACUCAUAUCCUAGCCUGAUAUUUUUUUUGUUGCUUCAACUCAGAAGUAGUGACUGCAUCUUGCUGACUCCUAUGCCAGGUGCACAGCAAACACUAAAUCAGGAGGUGCAGACUCACAUGCUCUGUGGGGCCAGGUAAGUGGCAUGGACGAGCAGGACCUCAGCAUCUGGGAGGAAGACCAAAGACCCAGGCAGCAGGAGGAGUCUUGCUGACCACUCAG
RNAcentral lists this long non-coding RNA (2966 nucleotides) under Macaca mulatta (Rhesus monkey). RNAcentral describes it as "lncRNA (ENSMMUG00000051220.1)". The record is from RNAcentral. Lineage: Eukaryota; Metazoa; Chordata; Mammalia; Primates; Cercopithecidae.